UACGUAGGGGCCAAGCGUUGUCCGGAUUUAUUGGGCGUAAAGAGCUCGUAGGCGGUUCGGCAAGUCGAAUGUGAAAUCUCCACGCUCAACGUGGAGGGGUCAUUCGAUACUGCCGUGACUCGAGUCCGGUAGGGGAGUGUGGAAUUCCCGGUGUAGCGGUGAAAUGCGCAGAUAUCAGGAGGAACACCGGUGGCGAAGGCGGAUCUCUGGGCCUUGCCUGACGCUGAGGCGCGAAAGCUAGGGGAGCGAACAGG
Molecule: ribosomal RNA, 254 nt
Filed under: uncultured bacterium
Lineage: Bacteria
Description: partial 16S ribosomal RNA
Rfam family: Bacterial small subunit ribosomal RNA
Source: RNAcentral